GCCCUCAGGCUCUUAGCACAUACACUAAAACUGAAGGAUACAGAGAAGGUUAGCAUGGCCCCUGCGCAGGGAUGACACACAAAUUUGUGAAGUGUUCCAUUUUUAU
This is a small nuclear RNA of Onychomys torridus (southern grasshopper mouse), 106 nucleotides long. The record is from RefSeq and is a predicted model, not a curated record. Lineage: Eukaryota; Metazoa; Chordata; Mammalia; Rodentia; Cricetidae.